RNAcentral lists this ribosomal RNA (524 nucleotides) under uncultured eukaryote. Its description in RNAcentral is "bacterial SSU rRNA". It matches the Rfam family "Eukaryotic small subunit ribosomal RNA", at positions 21 to 548 of the family's 1831-position model. The record is from RNAcentral.
UAGCCAUACGCUUGUCUCGAAGAUAAACCCCUUUUUGUCUCAGUUUGUUUUUAUAUGGUGAAACUGCGAAUGGCUCAUUAAAGCAGUUACAGUUGAUUUGAUGGUCACUCUUCCGUGGAUAACUGGGGUAAUUCCAGAGCUAACACAUGCACCAAAACCCGACUUCGGAAGGGUUGUGUUUAUUAAAUACAAAACCAUCCCAUGCUCCGCAUGGUUUUGCGGCGACUCAUAAUACCUCGAUGAAUCGCAUGGCUUCGCGAACAAGGCAUAAUUCAAGUUUCUAAUCUACCACCUCCCAACGGCAGGGUAUUGCCCUACCGUGGCAAGAACGGGUAACGGAAAAUUAGGGUUUGAUUCCGGAGAGGGACCCUGAAAAACGGCUCCCACAUCUAAGGAAGGCGGCGGGCGCGCAAAUUAAUUACUCAAUCCUGACACAGGGAGGAGGGGACAAAAAAUAACAAUCCAGGGCAAUACUGACUUGUAAUUGGAAUGAGUACAAUUUAAAUCUCUUUAGAAGUAUCAAU